RNAcentral lists this RNase P RNA (353 nucleotides) under bovine gut metagenome. RNAcentral describes it as "Bacterial RNase P class A". It matches the Rfam family "Bacterial RNase P class A". From Rfam's summary of the family: Ribonuclease P (RNase P) is a ubiquitous endoribonuclease, found in archaea, bacteria and eukarya as well as chloroplasts and mitochondria. Its best characterised activity is the generation of mature 5'-ends of tRNAs by cleaving the 5'-leader elements of precursor-tRNAs. The record is from RNAcentral.
AGCAGGCCGAGCGACCGCGGGCACAUUCCGAAAGGAAGUGCGUGAGGAAAGUCCGGGCUCCAUAGGGCAAGGAUAACGGGUAACGCCCGCCAGGGGUGACCCUCGGACAAGUGCAACAGAGAUAUACCGCCGCCGCGGCCAUGUGCUGCGGCGGUAAGGGUGGAAAAGUGCGGUAAGAGCGCACUCGGCCCUCUGGCAACAGAGGGGCGCUGUAAACUCUAUCCGGAGCAACGCCGUGGAGGAACACACAGGCCGGCCCGGCCGUUCCGAGGAGGCGGCUUGAGCGCGGCGGCAACGCAGCGCCACAGAUAGAUGGUCGCUUAAGACAGAACCCGGCUUACAGACCGGCUCAC